This 178-nucleotide unclassified non-coding RNA is filed under the name Glomeromycotina sp. RNAcentral describes it as "partial contains small subunit ribosomal RNA, internal transcribed spacer 1, and 5.8S ribosomal RNA". The stretch from base 1 to 47 matches the Rfam family "Eukaryotic small subunit ribosomal RNA", at positions 1785 to 1831 of the family's 1831-position model. Lineage: Eukaryota; Fungi; Glomeromycota. The record is from RNAcentral.
AAAGUCGUAACAAGGUUUCCGUAGGUGAACCUGCGGAAGGAUCAUUACUGAUUUGGCGAACCGAGCGUCUAGCGAGGUUUCGCGAUCAACUUAUAUUUAAAACCCACACUUUGAAUUUUAUAUAUAUUUUUUUUAAUAAAAAAAAAGAUCACUUUCAACAACGGAUCUCUUGGCUCUC